AUUCGGCUGACGAGUCCCAACUAGGACGAAAUGCGCAUCCUGGAU
This 45-nucleotide non-coding RNA is filed under the name Trichobilharzia regenti. The record is from RNAcentral. Lineage: Eukaryota; Metazoa; Platyhelminthes; Trematoda; Strigeidida; Schistosomatidae.